This 460-nucleotide ribosomal RNA is filed under the name uncultured bacterium. RNAcentral's name for it is "partial 16S ribosomal RNA". It matches the Rfam family "Bacterial small subunit ribosomal RNA", at positions 338 to 795 of the family's 1533-position model. The record is from RNAcentral.
CCUACGGGAGACAGCAGUGAGGAAUAUUGGUCAAUGGGCGCGAGCCUGAACCAGCCAAGUAGCGUGAAGGAUGACUGCCCUACGGGUUGUAAACUUCUUUUAUAAAGGAAUAAAGUGCGGCACGUGUGCCUUUUUGUCUGUACUUUAUGAAUAAGGAUCGGCUAACUCUGGGCCAGCAGCCGCGGUAAUACGGAGGGACCGAGUGUUAUCCGGAUUUAUUGGGUUUAACGGGAGCGUAGAUGGGUUGUUAAGUCAGUUGUGAAAGUUUGCGGCUCAACCGUAAAAUUGCAAUUGAUACUGGCAGGCUUGAGUACAGUAGAGGUAAGCGGAAUUCGUAGUGUAGCGGUGAAAUGCUUAGAUAUCACGAAGAACUCCGAUUGCGAAGGCAGCUUACUAAACUGCCACUGACAUUGAUGCUCGAAAGUGUGGGUAUCAAACAGGAUUAGAUACCCUUGUAGUC